This 468-nucleotide ribosomal RNA is filed under the name uncultured bacterium. RNAcentral's name for it is "partial 16S ribosomal RNA". It matches the Rfam family "Bacterial small subunit ribosomal RNA", at positions 28 to 507 of the family's 1533-position model. The record is from RNAcentral.
GACGAACGCUGGCGGCGUGCUUAACACAUGCAAGUCGAACGGAAAGGCCCUGCUUUUUUGGGGUGCUCGAGUGGCGAACGGGUGAGUAACACGUGAGUAACCUGCCCUUGACUUUGGGAUAACUUCAGGAAACUGGGGCUAAUACCGGAUAGGAGCUCCUGCUGCAUGGUGGGGGUUGGAAAGUUUCGGCGGUUGGGGAUGGGCUCGCGGCUUAUCAGCUUGUUGGUGGGGUAGUGGCUUACCAAGGCUUUGACCGGUAGCCGGCCUGAGAGGGUGACCGGCCACAUUGGGACUGAGGUACGGCCCAGAGUGCUACGGGGGGCAAUGGGGGCGAAUAUUGCACAAUGGGCGGAAGUGUGAUGCAGCGACGCCGCGUGCGGGAUGACGGCCUUCGGGUUGUAAAACGCUUCCGCUUAUGACGCAGCGUGAGUGACGGUAAUGGGUAAAGAAGCACCGGCUAACUACGUG